This 569-nucleotide ribosomal RNA is filed under the name Cladophialophora minourae. RNAcentral's name for it is "LSU rRNA". It matches the Rfam family "Eukaryotic large subunit ribosomal RNA", at positions 65 to 650 of the family's 3401-position model. The record is from RNAcentral. Lineage: Eukaryota; Fungi; Ascomycota; Eurotiomycetes; Chaetothyriales; Herpotrichiellaceae.
CCAACAGGGAUUGCCUCAGUAACGGCGAGUGAAGCGGCAACAGCUCAAAUUUGAAAUCUGGCCUCUCGAGGUCCGAGUUGUAAUUUGUAGAGGAUGUUUCGGGUACCGCCUCGGUUUAAAUUUCUUGGAACAGAAUGUCAGAGAGGGUGAGAAUCCCGUCUUGGACCGGUGGUAGGGCCUAUGUGAAACUCCUUCGACGAGUCGAGUUGUUUGGGAAUGCAGCUCAAAAUGGGUGGUAAAUUUCAUCUAAAGCUAAAUAUUGGCCAGAGACCGAUAGCGCACAAGUAGAGUGAUCGAAAGAUGAAAAGCACUUUGAAAAGAGAGUUAAACAGUAUGUGAAAUUGUUGAAAGGGAAGCGCUUGCAACCAGACUUGAGCGCGGCGGUUCCCCCUCGCUUCUGCUUGGGUUACUCCGCCGUGUCCAGGCCAACAUCGGUUCUAGGGGUCGGUCAAAGGCCCUGGGAAUGUAUCUACCUACGGGUAGACUUAUAGACCAGGGUGCCAUGCGACCUCCCGGGACCGAGGAACGCGCUUCGGCUCGGAUGUUGGCGUAAUGGUUGUCAGCGGCCC